RNAcentral lists this transfer RNA (73 nucleotides) under Stegodyphus mimosarum. It matches the Rfam family "tRNA". From Rfam's summary of the family: Transfer RNA (tRNA) molecules are approximately 80 nucleotides in length. The record is from Rfam by way of RNAcentral. Lineage: Eukaryota; Metazoa; Arthropoda; Arachnida; Araneae; Eresidae.
GCCUUCGUGGUGUAGUGGUCAGCCUGCUCGACGCGUAUUCCAGCAGCCCAUGGUUCGAGUCCCGGCGAGGGCA